UACAGAGGGUGCAAGCGUUAAUCGGAAUUACUGGGCGUAAAGCGCGCGUAGGCGGCUGUCUAAGUCGGGUGUGAAAGCCCCGGGCUCAACCUGGGAACUGUAUUCGAUACUGGACGGCUAGAGUAUGAGAGAGGGAGGUAGAAUUCCACGUGUAGCGGUGAAAUGCGUAGAUAUGUGGAGGAAUACCGGUGGCGAAGGCGGCCUCCUGGUUCAAUACUGACGCUGAGGUGCGAAAGCGUGGGGAGCAAACAGG
This 253-nucleotide ribosomal RNA is filed under the name uncultured bacterium. RNAcentral's name for it is "partial 16S ribosomal RNA". It matches the Rfam family "Bacterial small subunit ribosomal RNA", at positions 524 to 776 of the family's 1533-position model. The record is from RNAcentral.